ACGGGGGGUGCAAGCGUUGUUCGGAAUCAUUGGGCGUAAAGCGCGUGUAGGCGGCUUGACAAGUCAGAUGUGAAAUCACUGGGCUUAACCCAGGAAGUGCAUUUGAAACUGUCUAGCUUGAGUAAGGGAGAGGAAAGUGGAAUUCCUGGUGUAGAGGUGAAAUGCGAAGAUAUCAUGAGGAAAAACGGUGGCGAAGGCGACAGGAUGGCCCUAUACUGACGCUGAGACGCGAAAGCGUGGGUAGCAAACAG
This 251-nucleotide ribosomal RNA is filed under the name uncultured prokaryote. RNAcentral's name for it is "partial 16S rRNA". It matches the Rfam family "Bacterial small subunit ribosomal RNA", at positions 525 to 775 of the family's 1533-position model. The record is from RNAcentral.